RNAcentral lists this ribosomal RNA (218 nucleotides) under uncultured bacterium. RNAcentral describes it as "partial 16S ribosomal RNA". It matches the Rfam family "Bacterial small subunit ribosomal RNA", at positions 30 to 244 of the family's 1533-position model. The record is from RNAcentral.
AUUGAACGCUGGCGGCAGGCCUAACACAUGCAAGUCGAACGGUAGCACAGAGAGCUUGCUCUCGGGUGACGAGUGGCGGACGGGUGAGUAAUGUCUGGGAAACUGCCUGAUGGAGGGGGAUAACUACUGGAAACGGUAGCUAAUACCGCAUAACGUCGCAAGACCAAAGUGGGGGACCUUCGGGCCUCAUGCCAUCAGAUGUGCCCAGAUGGGAUUAG